UUAAAUGACUUAUUUGACCAUCUCUGUCUUUUUCUUUUUUUCUUUUUUUUUUUCCCUUUCUUUUCUACCUUUUUUUGUUUUUGCUACUCUUAUUUUACUUUUUUCUUUUUUUACCUGUCCACAUCUGAUAACAAUAAAAUAUAUCCACUAAAGGAUUAAAAAGAAAGAAUUUUUAUUGUUAAAACGACAAAGUAUUAAUUUCCUCCUAAAUUUG
This 214-nucleotide long non-coding RNA is filed under the name Ricinus communis (castor bean). Its description in RNAcentral is "long non-coding RNA (RCOM_LNC002886)". Lineage: Eukaryota; Viridiplantae; Streptophyta; Magnoliopsida; Malpighiales; Euphorbiaceae. The record is from RNAcentral.